RNAcentral lists this ribosomal RNA (618 nucleotides) under Vermamoeba vermiformis. RNAcentral describes it as "SSU rRNA". It matches the Rfam family "Eukaryotic small subunit ribosomal RNA", at positions 585 to 1204 of the family's 1831-position model. Lineage: Eukaryota; Tubulinea; Echinamoebida; Vermamoebidae. The record is from RNAcentral.
CCAGCUCCAAUAGCGUAUAUUAAAGUUGUUGCAGUUAAAAAGCUCGUAGUUGGAUUUCGGAAGGUCCUUAGCAAUCCGCCCCUUCGGGGAGCGGGUUGCUGGCCUCCUAUGUUCCUAACGGUCCUCACUCGCGAGGGUGGGGAAUCAACCGCUAGGAUCGUUUACUUUGAGGAAAUUAGAGUGUUCAAAGCAGGCGUAACUCGCCUCCGAAUACGUUAGCAUGGGAUAAUGGAAUACGACUUCGGUCUUGUUUCGUUGGUUUCGCUUGGCUGAAGUAAUGAUUGAUAGGGACAGUUGGGGGCAUUAGUAUUUAGUUGUCAGAGGUGAAAUUCUAGGAUUUACUAAAGACUGACCAAUGCGAAAGCAUUUGCCAAGGAUGUUUUCAUUAAUCAAGAACGAAAGUAGGGGGAUCGAAGACGAUCAGAUACCGUCGUAGUCUCUACCGUAAACUAUGCCGACCAGGGAUCCGGAGAGUUUGCAUGGAUGACUCCCCGGGCACCUUGUGAGAAAUCAUAAGUGUUUGGGUUUUGGGGGGAGUAUGGUCGCAAGGCUGAAACUUAAAGGAAUUGACGGAAGGGCACCACCAGGAGUGGAACCUGCGGCUUAAUUUGACUCAAC